AGAAAAGUCUGGGAUCAGAAAAAACUGCUAAUUUUUUCGCCCAUGGUUCAAAUCCAUGGUUUUCUU
This 66-nucleotide transfer RNA is filed under the name Urogymnus granulatus (mangrove whipray). RNAcentral's name for it is "tRNA-Ser". Lineage: Eukaryota; Metazoa; Chordata; Chondrichthyes; Myliobatiformes; Dasyatidae. The record is from RNAcentral.